This 1408-nucleotide ribosomal RNA is filed under the name uncultured Spirochaetota bacterium. Its description in RNAcentral is "uncultured Spirochaetes bacterium 16S ribosomal RNA". It matches the Rfam family "Bacterial small subunit ribosomal RNA". Lineage: Bacteria; Pseudomonadati; Spirochaetota. The record is from RNAcentral.
CAUGCAAGUCGGGCGGCAAGGUGCAGCGAUGUACCCUAGAGCGGCGGACUGGUGAGUAACGCGUGGGUGAUCUACCUUGGGGAUGGGGAUAGCCGUUAGAAAUAGCGGGUAAUACCGAAUAAGUUCGCUGGGCUAUGGUCUGGUGAGGAAAGGGGCUUUGGCCUCGCCUUGAGAUGGGCCCGCGUCCUAUUAGGCAGUUGGCGGGGUAAUGGCCCACCAAACCAGAGAUAGGUAGCCGGCCUGAGAGGGCGAACGGCCACACUGGGACUGAGAUACGGCCCAGACUCCUACGGGAGGCAGCAGCUAAGAAUAUUCCGCAAUGGACGAAAGUCUGACGGAGCGACGCCGCGUGGAUGAGGGAGGCCGAAAGGUUGUAAAGUCCUUUUGCGGAUGAAGAAUAAGCGUGGCAGGGAAUGGCCGCGUGAUGACGCAAGUCCGUGAAUAAGCCCCGGCUAAUUACGUGCCAGCAGCCGCGGUAACACGUAAGGGGCGAGCGUUGUUCGGAAUUAUUGGGCGUAAAGGGCGCGUAGGCGGUCUGGUAAGUCUGGCGUGAAAUGGCGUGGCUCAACCGCGUCACUGCGCUGGAAACUGUUGGACUUGGGUCAUGGAGGGGCAGUUGGAAUUCCUGGUGUAGGGGUGAAAUCUGUAGAUAUCAGGAAGACACCGGUGGCGAAGGCGAACUGCCAGCCAAUGACUGACGCUGAGGCGCGAAAGUGCGGGAGCAAACAGGAUUAGAUACCUGGUAGUCCGCACUAUAAACGAUGUGCACUAGGUGUCGGGUCGAGCGAUUCGGCGCCGGAGCGAACGCGAUAAGUGCACCGCCUGGGGAGUAUGCCCGCAAGGGUGAAACUCAAAGGAAUUGACGGGGGCCCGCACAAGCGGUGGAGCAUGUGGUUUAAUUCGAUGAUACGCGAGGAACCUUACCUGGGUUUGACAUGGAGAGGGAUGAUGUAGAGAUAUAUCAGCGUAGCAAUACGCCUUUUCACAGGUGCUGCAUGGCUGUCGUCAGCUCGUGCCGUGAGGUGUUGGGUUAAGUCCCGCAACGAGCGCAACCCCUACUGCCAGUUACCAGCAUUGAGUUGGGGACUCUGGCGGAACUGCCGGCGACAAGCCGGAGGAAGGCGGGGAUGACGUCAAGUCAUCAUGGCCCUUAUGUCCAGGGCUACACACGUGCUACAAUGGGUGGAACAAAGCGAAGCGAGCCCGCGAGGGAAGAGCGAACCGCCGAAAGCCAUCCGUAGUUCGGAUCGGAGUCUGAAACCCGACUCCGUGAAGUUGGAAUCGCUAGUAAUCGCGCAUCAGCAUGGCGCGGUGAAUACGUUCCCGGGCCUUGUACACACCGCCCGUCACACCAUCCGAGUUGGAGGCACCCGAAGCCGGCAGCCUAACCCGCAAGGGAGGGCGCUUC